UUUUUGCGUUAGGGAUUGAAAUGGCAUCCUUAUUUUGCUUUUCUUACCAUUAUGAAUAUGCAAAAAAAAGAUAUAGUGUAAAGCCCGUAUAAAC
Molecule: small RNA, 94 nt
Filed under: Pedobacter psychrophilus
Lineage: Bacteria; Pseudomonadati; Bacteroidota; Sphingobacteriia; Sphingobacteriales; Sphingobacteriaceae
Description: Pedobacter sp. CCM 8644 Flavo-1 RNA
Rfam family: Flavo-1 RNA
Source: Rfam by way of RNAcentral